This is a long non-coding RNA of Armigeres subalbatus, 747 nucleotides long. RefSeq lists it as uncharacterized. Lineage: Eukaryota; Metazoa; Arthropoda; Insecta; Diptera; Culicidae. The transcript is spliced from 3 exons. The record is from RefSeq and is a predicted model, not a curated record.
AAAAUAUUCAACCCGUUAACGUUACGUGAAAAUUCACGUAUCUAGCUAAUCUCACUCACACUAUUCACUAUACCUGAUACUCAUGAAACGUAAGCGAUGUAAUAUGAUAAUUAAAUUAAAUUUCGUGAAAUUCAUCCAAAUAAACUAUAAGAUUUACGUGAAUUUCAUAUCACUGUACAUGUCACUUAGAUGGGAACUCACUCAGAUUGUUUGUUCUGUCAGAAACGUCAGUCAGUCAGCCAGUCAGUAAUUCAGAUUGUUAUGGAUAGAAUUUUUUUGAAAAUAUUUUGUCUCAAGUUCUGAUUUCCCAUGGCUAUGCAUGCAGGAAUCGAUUGUUCAUGAGCCAACUAUUGCCGGACCAUGAACGAAAAGUUUUCAACUCUAACUUAACCUCAACUGCUCAUCCCAUCAUGUUAUUUUCGCACGAUGUACACGAUUUCUUCCGGCGUUCUGAUUCAGUUCGAGCAUCAGAAGUUUCCACCAAAUUUGCUCUACCUUGAAAAUCUGUCCGACGAAACUAUUACGGGAAGCUCCGACACAAGUUUUUCAAGCCCAAAAAUCCCGAAAAAGAUAUGUUGUCUUUUAGCGGAAUAUGCUGUUUCGGGAUUUCUCGGUGUAGAAAAACUUGUGUCGUUUCCCUUGAUCAACACCCUAAGGAUGUACAUAAAUAUGUUUAGAUUAUCAAUUCUGAAAUAAAAACUGGAAACGAAUUUUGUGUUAUAUCUUUAAUUUUCGAUAAAGUAAAAG